Molecule: long non-coding RNA, 2850 nt
Organism: Cyanistes caeruleus (blue tit)
Lineage: Eukaryota; Metazoa; Chordata; Aves; Passeriformes; Paridae
Source: Ensembl
GUCAAUAGUUCUUGCUGUGUGGGGCUAUUUAAUUCCAUCUAAAAUGCCACUGAAAUAAAAAUAAAGGGACAGGGAUCUGGGGGAAUUUGCUGCCAUCAAAAGCCAUCCUGGAGGAGAAGUGACCGGUGAGGGAGGUGAAGUUGAGGCCUUUAAUGUGGAGGUUCCUCAGCUGAAAGCACUUCUCUCCCACCUGGGCUGCAAAGCCUUCCCCAGGCACAGGUCCAGUGGAAAGUUCAGGUGUCAGCUUUGUUCUUCAAACAACAGCAGAAGGUUCCAGACCUCAGAAGUCGCCUCAGAAAUGGAAAAUUUGCUGAGAAUGUCUCAGAGCAAUGCAGUGCAAGCAACUGAUGCCAAAGUGAGAGACACAAACAACUCAGUGAUGCCCCGGGGAUAACGCCUGGUUUAAAGCUCAUUUGUCAGGCAGUGUUUGCCUCUUAGAACCUCCCUUUGUUAUGGAGAGCAGAGAUCCAGCAAAUGCGACGUGAUUGCAGCUGGAAAAGAUGGAAAGCUGCGUUCUGACCUGCAGACAGAAUGUGUCAAACGAGACCUUUCAGCUCUGAGAGGCUCCGAGCUUUUAAUGAAACCUGUCAGGUACAGAUGAACGGUUAACCUGCCUUUCAUUCUCCCAGCUUAUUAAAAUCAUUAAAAGCCAGCAAUAAUUAUGAUCCUUUCUGACUGCUGUAUUUAUGUCAGCCCCGGGGGUCUGGUGCCUGCAGGAGGGUUCUGCUCGGAUGGGAAUCAUUGCAGAAGGUCGCUGCUGCUCCUUCCCAGCAUCGCCAAACUGGAGGUUCCUCCUCUUUGCUGUCCUUUCCAAGCUCAGGAUCUGACCUCUACAACACAAACAGGAAUUGAAAAUGAAAUCAGCUUGUAUUCCAAACUGAGCAGUUUCCGCUCCUCUGCCAUGUGAGACGAGCCAUGGAUCUGCACAGGACUAAGGGAAGAUGAUGGGCUGCAGUAUUACCUGAGGGAAGACCUAAUCUUUUAAACCAAUGCACCCUCACAGUGACAUUCUGUUAUUCAUUCUCUGGUUUUUGGCCUGUGGGUAUCUCCUCAUGACUAUUCUCCACAUUUUUUUUAACAAGUGACAUCCCUGAGAAUUCCUGGCGUUGCUCUCCCUGUUCACACAGGUUGAGUGUGUUCACACGGAUGUUUCUGGAAGUCUUGGUGUCAGUUCUGUGGCUGUGGCUGUGAAUUUUGGGGCUUCACUGAGUUCCAUUGAUUAUUGCCAACAGUGCUGCACUUUGGUGAUCUAUUCCAGAGGCCUCAAGUUUAAUGUCUGAGCCAGGUUUGUACUGAAGGACAUUUCUACAGUGGCAAAAGGAUUUUUUUUUAUACUUAACACUUAAAACAUUUUUCUACUCAUGUCACUCAUAGAACUGAGCGUGAUGGAUCUAAUUUCUCAAAGCUGAAAAUACAGACUGUCAUGGAAAUCCAUAGAAAGAAAUCCAUAGAAAGACUCCUGCUUGUUUUAUAUCAAAUCCAAAAAUCUCCUUUAUUCCUGAGUUGCUGUUUGAGCUCCUCCUUGCCAGCCAGGGAGUCUGGAGUCAAAGAAUUUAAUAUCAGACCUGGGGGUCUGACAGAUUUUAGAGGGGAAGAGGGGAGCUGAUUCUGUCUGGUUCCAUAUCAGGCAUUGACAAAGCAAUCAGUGGAAUUCUUCUUCAGCACAGAUUAUGCUGUAAAAGCAAAAAAAAACCCCCAGCAUUGAUUUGGGUUUGUAAUAAGAUGACAAGUCUGUAAUGAUCAGCAGCUUCAGAGAUUACAGAAAUGUACUUUUCAUUUCUCUGACAUGAUGUCAAUACCUUUUCCAGCUGUUCUGAACACCCUGAGAGGUUUUAUCUUAAAAUCUGGGUUUGAGAAAGAUAAGCGAGAGAAAAGGUUGAUCUGCCAUUGAAAUGGUGUCACUCCUAAAUUCUUUUGUGUUUGAUAAAAUAUAUUUUAUGAAGUGCUAUAAAGUACAAAUGGGGUCAGGGAAGCGCCUUUUGCUCCACUUUGGGCUGACCUAAGCCCUGUGUUCAGGCGAUUUUCAGAACACAACACUCAUGAGGUUUUGGGGCGGGAAGUGAGUUUUUCUCAUCUUGUGCCUUGCCAGAAUUUUUUGCCAUCUUUUUGAGAAAAAAUCAUGGGUUAUAAUGGACUUUCCUGACCCAAACAAAUCCAUGGUGAGGCUGAUGUGACCUGGUCACAGCCAAAUCCAUCCCAUGUGGGUAAAACAGGCUGAGGAGAGGCAGUGGGGCCUUUAUAUUCCUUUGGUUCCAUCCAUUAUUGAUAAGGCUUUUAGCAAUGAUCAUCUGUAAGUGCUGUGUUACACCCCAGCACGUGCCAGGGGGAUCUGUAGUAUUUUUAAAUCUGGAUCUGGAAUUUUUAAACAGAUUAAGCACGUAAAUGCUGGUGACACUUGCAGAAUUAGAUAAUCUUUUGCCCUUUUUUGGGGCUGGAAUUGGGAUUUGCAUGAUUUGUUCCCGUCUCCAUUGUGCCGCUCGCUAACGCAGACUGGCCCGUUUGUUCCCUGGGUCUGCUGCUGGUUGGACACUCUCAAUUCCCCUGGCAAUGGAUUUACUCUGGAUACACAUCUCUGGAAGUGAACUCUGGGCUGGAUUCCCCACCAGGAUUCCCGCUGCAAACACUGGAUCUGCUCUUUCGGCUCCUUUCUCCUGCCUGUGGAGCACACAAACCCUUCCUGUCCCUCUCUCUGCAUUCUGCGCCCAGGCCCCGUGAAUUUGGGGAAUUUAGCUGAAAUUCAUUUGUUUUGUGUUCAUGUCACACGUUGUUUCUGCCACAGUUGCUCUCCUUCCCCCCUCAGCGAGCGGCACACGGAAUAAAAGGAGCUUGUGUGAGAUUUGGCUCGGCCGC